AAGGUCUCGCCUGCCCAGUGAAUCUAUUCAACGGCCGCGGUAUCCUAACCGUGCAAAGGUAGCGUAAUCACUUGUCCUCUAAAUAGGGACUUGUAUGAACGGCUAAAUGAGGGCCUACCUGUUUCCUAUGGCCCUUCAAUGAACCUGAUCUUCCAGUACAAAAGCUGAAAUUAGCCCAUAAGACGAGAAGACCCUGUGGAGCUUCAAACAGCCUGCUAAUCCUCAUAGCAGGUACUUUUAGUUGGGGCGACUACGGAACAAAACAAAACUUCCACGCCCCGGACCACCCAUCCUAUAAAGGCACCCACGCCAAUAUAACCCCCUCGCUCGACCCAGUCCAGACUGAUUAACGAACCAAGUUACCCCAGGGAUAACAGCGCCAUCCUCUUUAAGAGCCCCUAUCGCCAAGAGGGUUUACGACCUCGAUGUUGGAUCAGGGCCCCCAAGUGGUGCAGCCACUACUAACGGUUCGUUUGUUCAACGACUAACGCCCUACGUGAUCUGAGUUCAGACCGGA
RNAcentral lists this ribosomal RNA (517 nucleotides) under Lepidoblepharis xanthostigma. RNAcentral describes it as "partial 16S ribosomal RNA". It matches the Rfam family "Bacterial large subunit ribosomal RNA", at positions 1847 to 2620 of the family's 2925-position model. Lineage: Eukaryota; Metazoa; Chordata; Lepidosauria; Squamata; Sphaerodactylidae. The record is from RNAcentral.